Long non-coding RNA from Panicum virgatum (switchgrass), 942 nucleotides. RefSeq lists it as uncharacterized. NCBI's taxonomy places the organism in Eukaryota, Viridiplantae, Streptophyta, Magnoliopsida, Poales, Poaceae. The record is from RefSeq and is a predicted model, not a curated record. The transcript has 2 exons.
UGAGAGUACUGUUAUGGUUUUGUGUCAUAUAUGUGAUAGCCUUGUCAUGUAUCAAACCAUAAUUAUUUUUACCCGUUCAAAAAAGAUGACUGCAUGUGCAUGUGCAUUGCCGCCAUCUCCCCUCCCAAAUCCCAAUGCGCCCACCCAAUUGCUCGUUCUCCUCCUUGCGCACUGAAUCAGCACUCGAUUCGCAGUGCUCAUCCGCAACUAACACUGAAUAGCUGUGAGAUCCGCUCCAAAGAGCAGCUGCACCCACCAUAUAAACUGCAGCCAUGGAGAAAUGCAUAGGAACGUUGAAUAGAGGUUGGGCGCGGAGGUGGAAGAGGCAGUAGAGGAGAAGUUGGCGCCAAGGUGGAGGGGGCCGUCAGCGAGGUGCUGAUGGGCGGCAUGGUUUUUUGGGUGAGCCUCCGUGGCAAGGAUAGGGGCGCUGUGGUUCAAGAAGGGGGCUCUUUCCUCCCUGACACCGAGGAGCAGGUGCCCUCCAUGAUGGUGGCACACUCGCCUGGAUCAUCCAUCUUUGAGACUGAGGAUCAGCCUCUGAAUGUCGUUAAGGAGCUGGUCGAGGACAAUGAAGGAUAGGGAAGCGAUGCGUGGAAGGACUUAGGCAGCCACGCUCAACCACUGGAAGAAGAAGCAGAUGCCGACCUCCCUGAUGCUCAUGAACAAGAUGAUGGUGCCAGCAAUAAGCUUUGCGAGGUUAGAGAUAGUAUGUUGAUGAUUUUAGUGCCAUUGUAUUUCCAGAAUAAUGAUGGCAACUAGUACUUCCUAGAUUCUAGUGAUUCUUAUCAUCCAUUAGUCAUUGUAGAAAUAAGAAUAUUUUUGCUUUGGGAAAUCCAUUGAGAUAACUUGAAUGGUACUGCAAACUUGAUUGUACUUGUCACUGGAUCCAUUUAACAAAUGCAUGCAUGGAUCCAUAUGUGUAACGUUUUUUUAUUGAAGGCA